Long non-coding RNA from Olea europaea var. sylvestris, 879 nucleotides. RefSeq lists it as uncharacterized. The transcript has 3 exons. NCBI's taxonomy places the organism in Eukaryota, Viridiplantae, Streptophyta, Magnoliopsida, Lamiales, Oleaceae. The record is from RefSeq and is a predicted model, not a curated record.
UGUCUUCAACGAGUGGAAUAUCAAUAGAAAAUGUUCUUGAAGUCAUGAUAUCACUCUCUUUCGACUUAAAGAAAGAACACACAAAUGCGCAUAUAGUUUUGAAACUACGCAGACAUUAUAUUUAUUUAUACAUAUUUAAUCAUCAGUGUUCUAAAUUCCAGGUUGUUUGACUCAGCAAAAGCUCUAGCCUUUAGCAAUGUACCAACUCGUGAACAGGUGAAAGAUGCCAUAUUUAAAACUCUGAUAAGGAAUGGGAUGUUUGAUGACGCACACAUCAGGCUCACCCUGACUCGUGGGAAGAAGGUAACUUCUGGAAUGAGCCCAGCACUAAACCUUUAUGGAUGUACUUUAGUCGGUAAGAUACAUGUGUUUAUUAUCUUACAUAAGUAGCAUUGUCUGUGGCAUAUGCUAUGACAGAGUUGAGGCUAUAUAACUGUUCAGCUAUAAUGACCAGUUUUUAAAUCUUGGGUGGUCCGUGGGCAUCUGCAAUCCCAUUCCCCCUUCUCAUUUCCGAAAGAUCAUGUAUCUGAUGAAUGAACAUUUUCCAUAGAACAAGAGUGUAAAACAACCAAUUGAGACUAAAAAUCAUGUUCCACAUUUUACAUCAAUGGCAAAACAUAAGCUCUAUUUAUUUAUUUUUAUUUAUCUCCUUUGACUUCCUCCUUAACCAUUCCCGACGAGAAAAUGUUGAUGUAACAUAAAUUUAUAAGCUAAAAAGAUCUCAUCAAAUUGUCCAAAGAAUUAACGAAGUUGCACUAUGUUUUCAGCAGGAGAUGAGAAAUAACUUUCUUGGACCUUUCUGUAAUGCACCCGAUUCAUUAAGUUCUCGUUUUCUCAAAUAUGAUGGAACCUUGUUGAAAAGAGUUUAUUGAUAUAUUG